RNAcentral lists this long non-coding RNA (536 nucleotides) under Malus domestica (apple). RNAcentral's name for it is "long non-coding RNA (MDOM_LNC009856)". Lineage: Eukaryota; Viridiplantae; Streptophyta; Magnoliopsida; Rosales; Rosaceae. The record is from RNAcentral.
AGUACCUCGAAUACACUAUGAAUAAUAACGACGAUCACAUUUCAACGAAAUAAUACAAAAUAUAAAUUAAAUAGCAUGAGGAUCUAUAUUUUUGUUUCAAAGAAAAAGAAGAAGGUUUGCAACCACAUCAUUUGAAAAAUUUGCAAAACCCAAAGAAAGAAAAGAAAAAGACUAAAACCUAUAACAUGGUUUUUUAUUAAACAAAACUUAUAACAUGGUUUUUUAUUAAAACUAAAACUUAUAACAUGAUUUUUAAUUAAACAAAGUUUUCCUUUAAAUUUUUACACUUGGAUUAUUUUAUUCUUUAAAUGUUUCAGAAAAGAAAAAGAAAAAUAAUCCUGAAAUCAAGAGAUUAAAUACUUGUGUGAUAAAUUUGGUAUAGAAAUAAAGAUGUGGGGCUCAUCGGACCUAUUUCAAUCGUAACAAAUAAAGUGGAUUAUUUAUAAAAUUGGCUCACAAAAUUGUAGUUAUAUUCAAAGUUCUAAAAGACAUUAAGCGCUAGUCAGGCGGUAAACAAGGAUAAGAGUUUAGACGAG